Molecule: ribosomal RNA, 161 nt
Filed under: uncultured bacterium
Lineage: Bacteria
Description: partial 16S rRNA
Rfam family: Bacterial small subunit ribosomal RNA
Source: RNAcentral
GGAAUCUUCCACAAUGGACGCAAGUCUGAUGGAGCAACGCCGCGUGAGUGAAGAAGGUCUUCGGAUCGUAAAACUCUGUUGUUAGAGAAGAACAUGCAGGAGAGUAACUGUUCUUGUAUUGACGGUAAUCAACCAGAAAGUCACGGCUAACUACGUGCCAG